UGGGGAAUAUUGCACAAUGGGGGAAACCCUGAUGCAGCCAUGCCGCGUGUAUGAAGAAGGCCUUCGGGUUGUAAAGUACUUUCGGUGGUGAGGAAGUUGUGUGUAUGAAAAGUGCAUAUAAUUGACGUUAGCCACAGAAGAAGCACCGGCUAACUCCGUGCCAGCAGCCGCGGUAAUACGGAGGGUGCGAGCGUUAAUCGGAAUGACUGGGCGUAAAGGGCAUGUAGGCGGAUGAUUAAGUUAGGUGUGAAAGCCCCGGGCUCAACCUGGGAAUAGCAUUUAAAACUGGUCGUCUGGAGUACUGUAGAGGGAGGUAGAAUUCCACGUGUAGCGGUGAAAUGCGUAGAGAUGUGGAGGAAUACCGGUGGCGAAGGCGGCCUUCUGGACAGAUACUGACGCUGAGAUGCGAAAGCGUGGGGAGCAAACAGG
This 429-nucleotide ribosomal RNA is filed under the name uncultured Frischella sp. RNAcentral describes it as "bacterial SSU rRNA". It matches the Rfam family "Bacterial small subunit ribosomal RNA", at positions 355 to 776 of the family's 1533-position model. The record is from RNAcentral. Lineage: Bacteria; Pseudomonadati; Pseudomonadota; Gammaproteobacteria; Orbales; Orbaceae.